AGGAUCAUUACCGAGUGUAGGGUUCCUAGCGAGCCCAAUUCCUCCCACCCGUGUUUACUGUACCUUAGUUGCUUCGGCGGGCCCGCCAUUCAUGGCCGCCGGGGGCUCUCAGCCCCGGGCCCGCGCCCGCCGGAGACACCACGAACUCUGUCUGAUCUAGUGAAGUCUGAGUUGAUUGUAUCGCAAUCAGUUAAAACUUUCAACAAUGGAUCUCUUGGUUCCGGCAUCGAUGAAGAACGCAGCGAAAUGCGAUAACUACGUGUGAAUUGCAGAAUUCCGUGAAUCAUCGAGUCUUUGAACGCACAUUGCGCCCCCUGGUAUUCCGGGGGGCAUGCCUGUCCGAGCGUCAUUGCUGCCCAUCAAGCACGGCUUGUGUGUUGGGUCGUCGUCCCCUCUCCGGGGGGGACGGGCCCCAAAGGCAGCGGCGGCACCGCGUCCGAUCCUCGAGCGUAUGGGGCUUUGUCACCCGCUCUGUAGGCCCGGCCGGCGCUUGCCGAACGCAAAUCAAUCUUUUUCCAGGUUGACCUCGGAUCAGGUAGGGAUACCCGCUGAACUUAAGCAUAUCAAUAAGCGGAGGAAAAGAAACCAACCGGGAUUGCCUUGGUACGACUUUUACUUCCAAAAA
RNAcentral lists this unclassified non-coding RNA (625 nucleotides) under Aspergillus oryzae. RNAcentral describes it as "sequence contains ITS1, 5.8S rRNA gene, ITS2". The stretch from base 195 to 349 matches the Rfam family "5.8S ribosomal RNA". Lineage: Eukaryota; Fungi; Ascomycota; Eurotiomycetes; Eurotiales; Aspergillaceae. The record is from RNAcentral.